GGACGCAAGUCUGAUGGAGCAACGCCGCGUGAGUGAAGAAGGGUUUCGGCUCGUAAAGCUCUGUUGGUAGUGAAGAAAGAUAGAGGUAGUAACUGGCCUUUAUUUGACGGUAAUUACUUAGAAAGUCACGGCUAACUACGUGCCAGCAGCCGCGGUAAUACGUAGGUGGCAAGCGUUGUCCGGAUUUAUUGGGCGUAAAGCGAGUGCAGGCGGUUCAAUAAGUCUGAUGUGAAAGCCUUCGGCUCAACCGGAGAAUUGCAUCAGAAACUGUUGAACUUGAGUGCAGAAGAGGAGAGUGGAACUCCAUGUGUAGCGGUGGAAUGCGUAGAUAUAUGGGAGAACACCAGUGGCGAAGGCGGCUCUCUGGUCUGCAACUGACGCUGAGGCUCGAAAGCAUGGGUAGCGAACAGGAUUAGAUACCCUGGUAGUCCAUGCCGUAAACGAUGAGUGCUAAGUGUUGGGAAGUUUCCGCCUCUCAGUGCUGCAGCUAACGCAUUAAGCACUCCGCCUGGGGAGUGCGACCGCAAGGUUGAAACUCAAAGGAAUUGACGGGGGCCCGCACAAGCGGUGGAGCAUGUGGUUUAAUUCGAAGCAACGCGAAGAACCUUACCAGGUCUUGA
This 620-nucleotide ribosomal RNA is filed under the name Lactobacillus gasseri. Its description in RNAcentral is "bacterial SSU rRNA". It matches the Rfam family "Bacterial small subunit ribosomal RNA", at positions 373 to 984 of the family's 1533-position model. Lineage: Bacteria; Bacillati; Bacillota; Bacilli; Lactobacillales; Lactobacillaceae. The record is from RNAcentral.